CCUGAAAGGGCGGGGUGCCCGCAAGGGAGCGUGGAGACAGGUGGUGCAUGGCUGUCGUCAGCUCGUGUCGUGAGAUGUUGGGUUAAGUCCCGCAACGAGCGCAACCCACACCCCUGGUUGCCACCGGGUAAAGCCGAGCACUCGAGGGGAACUGCCAGCGUCAAGCUGGAGGAAGGCGGGGAUGACGUCAAGUCAUCAUGCCCCUUACGCCCUGGGCUACACACGUGCUACAAUGGCCGGUACAAAGGGACGCGAGACCGCGAGGUGGAGCCAAUCCCAAAAAACUGGUCUAAGUUCAGAUUGCAGUCUGCAACUCGACUGCAUGAAGGAGGAAUCGCUAGUAAUCGCGCAUCAGCACGGCGCGGUGAAUACGUUCCCGGGCCUUGUACACACCGCCCGUCACACCACGAAAGCUGU
RNAcentral lists this ribosomal RNA (417 nucleotides) under uncultured bacterium. Its description in RNAcentral is "bacterial SSU rRNA". It matches the Rfam family "Bacterial small subunit ribosomal RNA", at positions 1000 to 1414 of the family's 1533-position model. The record is from RNAcentral.